UCAGAAAACAUGGAUGUGGCAUACUUUUUGAUGAUGUAGAUUUUGUUGCUGGUCUUGUAUUAUUACUAGUUCUUUCACUUGCACUCAUUAUAGUAAGAAUAGCAAAUUUUCGAGAAAACGUAAGAAUAGCAAAUUGGCUCAAACACAAAUCUUUAGCUCCAACUACUAAUUAGUUAUAAGCUUUUUUGUACAAGAUUUAAGUAUUGAAAAACUUUGUCGCAUGAUACUUCCUAUGGUAUGAUUUUGUUGCUUCCGGUAACUGACUCUCCUUUUUUAUCUUCAGGUUUGUACUUCUAAAAUGAACUUGAGUGAUAUGGUUUGGAAGAUUAUGUCUCCAGACCGAAUAAAAUCAGUCCUGUUGAUGUCGGGAAGAACCAUGAGUCAAUGACUGCAAGUUUCAUAUCAGGAAUAAUGAGAAAACAGGGAGGCGCAGUUGCUGCUUCUGCAGAUCGUCGGUGGUGACCCCCGGGCAAGUAGGAUCAAGGGGCGGCGACCAGCGAGCUGAUGUUGAGGGGAGACCAUCGUGCUACUCUACUGAGGGCCGUCGGCCAGUGAUCCUCUGCUUGGUGCGGCGUCGAGUUGCUGCCGGGGAGCAGCUGGGUGAGAUAUAGGUGACCCUAGGAAGAAGGGAAUGUACCACAAUUUCUAUCGUUGUUAUUAAUUUGUGGAAUUCUAAUUUUAACAGCCGAGGUACUAGAGCAUAUUCUAGACAUUGUUUCCGGACAAGGUUCGAAAUGUUGGUUCCACACCUGUUGGUUGCAGCACCAUGAUAACUGCAUAUAUUGAUUCCAAAUUUGGGAUCUUGUAAUUCGGGAUGCUGUGCAUUUUAAUGCAUGAUCAUGUUGGAUUUAAA
Molecule: long non-coding RNA, 853 nt
Organism: Lolium rigidum
Lineage: Eukaryota; Viridiplantae; Streptophyta; Magnoliopsida; Poales; Poaceae
Exons: 2
Source: RefSeq, a predicted model, not a curated record